This 444-nucleotide ribosomal RNA is filed under the name uncultured bacterium. Its description in RNAcentral is "SSU rRNA". It matches the Rfam family "Bacterial small subunit ribosomal RNA", at positions 26 to 518 of the family's 1533-position model. The record is from RNAcentral.
AGAACGAACGCUGGCGGCAUGCCUAACACAUGCAAGUCGAACGAGACCUUCGGGUCUAGUGGCGCACGGGUGCGUAACGCGUGGGAAUCUGCCCUUGGGUACGGAAUAACAGCGAGAAAUUGCUGCUAAUACCGUAUAAUGACGUAAGUCCAAAGAUUUAUCGCCCAGGGAUGAGCCCGCGUAGGAUUAGCUUGUUGGUGAGGUAAAAGCUCACCAAGGCGACGAUCCUUAGCUGGUCUGAGAGGAUGAUCAGCCACACUGGGACUGAGACACGGCCCAGACUCCUACGGGAGGCAGCAGUGGGGAAUAUUGGACAAUGGGCGAAAGCCUGAUCCAGCAAUGCCGCGUGAGUGAUGAAGGCCUUAGGGUUGUAAAGCUCUUUGCCCGGAUGAUAAUGACAGUACCGGGAGAAUAAGCUCCGGCUAACUCCGUGCCAGCAGCCGC